UGGGGAAUUUUGGACAAUGGGCGAAAGCCUGAUCCAGCAAUGCCGCGUGUGUGAAGAAGGCCUUCGGGUUGUAAAGCACUUUUGUCCGGAAAGAAAUCCUUGGCUCUAAUACAGUCGGGGGAUGACGGUACCGGAAGAAUAAGCACCGGCUAACUACGUGCCAGCAGCCGCGGUAAUACGUAGGGUGCAAGCGUUAAUCGGAAUUACUGGGCGUAAAGCGUGCGCAGGCGGUUUGCUAAGACCGAUGUGAAAUCCCCGGGCUCAACCUGGGAACUGCAUUGGUGACUGGCAGGCUAGAGUAUGGCAGAGGGGGGUAGAAUUCCACGUGUAGCAGUGAAAUGCGUAGAGAUGUGGAGGAAUACCGAUGGCGAAGGCAGCCCCCUGGGCCAAUACUGACGCUCAUGCACGAAAGCGUGGGGAGCAAAACAGGAUUAGAUACCCUGGUAGUCCACGCCCUAAACGAUGUCAACUAGUUGUUGGGGAUUCAUUUUCCUUAGUAACGUAGCUAACGCGUGAAGUUGACCGCCUGGGGAGUACGGUCGCAAGAUUAAAACUCAAAUGAAUUG
Molecule: ribosomal RNA, 566 nt
Filed under: uncultured bacterium
Lineage: Bacteria
Description: partial 16S ribosomal RNA
Rfam family: Bacterial small subunit ribosomal RNA
Source: RNAcentral